UCAGAUAAAUUUUGAUAUUUAAGAAGCAUCCAGAUUUCUCUUCGACAUAAACAGACCUACACUGUUCACGAUGAUCAAAAGAAAUCGCACACAGGCUCUCCUCCUUGCAGUUUUCGUACUGAAUGCGUUCUUUUGCUCUUUCGCAAAAGUUAGUGGACUUACAAUCAAGCCGUAUGAAUGGAACGACGAAGGCACACCAUUGUCAAAAGUUAGUCCCAAGAAGUCACCAAGACCAAUAACCACAACAUCCAGAAAAACAAGGAAUGAAGAAUCUGAUAAGUGUGGUCCAGAGAACUGUCAACAUGGAAAAUUCUAUGUAGAUACAUGUGACAAGAAUGGUUUCUAUCAAUGUGUAUGGGGGAGACCUGCGAAACAACAUUGUGGUAAGGGUCUUGUAUGGAACCCAGCAGGAUAUUGUGACUACGCAUAACAGUUAUUCAAGAAUUUGACUUUGGAAUAUUAGAUUGAGACCAAUGAUUAAUUAUAAGUUGUAACCAAAGCACGAGUAACUAUAUUUACAGAUGCAUUCAAUUUGUUCGUUUUU
Long non-coding RNA from Mytilus californianus (California mussel), 544 nucleotides. RefSeq lists it as uncharacterized. The record is from RefSeq and is a predicted model, not a curated record. The transcript is spliced from 5 exons. Lineage: Eukaryota; Metazoa; Mollusca; Bivalvia; Mytilida; Mytilidae.